GUGGGGAAUAUUGGACAAUGGGCGAAAGCCUGAUCCAGCCAUGCCGCGUGUGUGAAGAAGGUCUUCGGAUUGUAAAGCACUUUAAGUUGGGAGGAAGGGCAGUAAGUUAAUACCUUGCUGUUUUGACGUUACCGACAGAAUAAGCACCGGCUAACUUCGUGCCAGCAGCCGCGGUAAUACGAAGGGUGCAAGCGUUAAUCGGAAUUACUGGGCGUAAAGCGCGCGUAGGUGGUUUUGUAAGUUGGAGGUGAAAUCCCCGGGCUCAACCUGGGAACUGCAUCCAAAACUGCAUGACUAGAGUACGGUAGAGGGUAGUGGAAUUUCCUGUGUAGCGGUGAAAUGCGUAGAUAUAGGAAGGAACACCAGUGGCGAAGGCGACUACCUGGACUGAUACUGACACUGAGGUGCGAAAGCGUGGGGAGCAAACAGGAUUAGAAACCCCGGUAGUCC
Molecule: ribosomal RNA, 450 nt
Filed under: uncultured bacterium
Lineage: Bacteria
Description: bacterial SSU rRNA
Rfam family: Bacterial small subunit ribosomal RNA
Source: RNAcentral